Cyprinus carpio carpio is the source of this 881-nucleotide long non-coding RNA. The record is from Ensembl. Lineage: Eukaryota; Metazoa; Chordata; Actinopteri; Cypriniformes; Cyprinidae.
GCCAAUGGCGAUUCUAUUGCCAAGGUGUGCGUAGAGGGUUGAAUGUACAGUCUUAUAGAAAUAAUGAAAGUACAAAAUAAAUGUAGUAUUAGCUGAACUUGUAAAUAAUUGAACAUGAGACAGUGAUUUUUUUUUUUUUUUUUUUUUUUGUCAAUGUUGACUUGAGGUUUUAUCUAUAACACUAGCUCAGCAGAUACCACAACAGCGUCAGAAACAACCCUGUCCACUUCGGCCACUCUCUCUUCAACUGCUUUUCAAGUCCCAACAACUCUUUCUGGAAUAUCCACCAGUAGUGCAGCAAUUACCAUGACAGCACCACAAUCAACAGCUUCUACCUUGGCUUCAGUCAGCUCCUUUUCACCAGCCUUUGACACAUUAACCACUAGUGCUACAACGGUCAUCCCUUCUACGGAUUCUACAGCCUCUACAGCUUCUCCAGCAUCUACAGCAUUGACAACCAUUACAGUAUCUACAGCUUCUACAACAUCUACAUCUUCCAGGACAACUACUGCAAAAUUAGUAACUGAGGUGCUAACAGAUCUGGAGUUUCGCUCCACAGACACAUUUAUAGACGCACUGAAGGAUUCAAAGUCUGCAGAGCACAAGAAUAUGGCUAAGCUUGUCAGGGAUGAGACCCAAGUAUGCUAACUUCCUCAAAGUGAUUGUCCUAGGAUUCAGACAAGGGUCAAUCAUCACAUCAACACAACUAGUCUUCACCUUUAACCAAACUAUUCCAUCCAUUCAAGAGAUUUCAACCUUCCUCUUGAGAGCAGUGGAAACAGGAGAAGUCAAUCAACUGAACAGGAUUCCUCAAUCAAUUUUAGUCAAUGGUUCAGAGAAACAAGCAUGCAGUCAUCUUUAGGGGCUGUUCACAUGGAAUG